Molecule: long non-coding RNA, 1562 nt
Organism: Nicotiana attenuata
Lineage: Eukaryota; Viridiplantae; Streptophyta; Magnoliopsida; Solanales; Solanaceae
Exons: 4
Source: RefSeq, a predicted model, not a curated record
AUUAUGAGGUUGUUCUUUAAAUGUUCUUUUCUAUCUUCUUAAAACCAUUUUAAACAUAAAAUUUGUUUAAUGGCAAUAAAACCAAUUGCAGCACACAAAUUAUUGACGGCAUUUAAGAAGUUGCAGGAAAGAAUGCUCCUCUUACUGAAUCAAAGCAUUGGUCAUUAAAUGGUCAAUAAAAGUCGGUAAAGGGAAUUAAAAUUUUCCUUCCAAUUUAUUUCGAGAAUUUAUUCUCCCUCGAAUUUAAAUCCCGGCAAAAUAUUCCCUCUACCGCCGCAGAAUAGAGCAAGCCUCUCUCCCUCAUCAUCACCAGGUAAUCUUAGGUUUCCUGCAGAAAUUCGUCGUUAAUUAUUGAUAUUUCUCAGAUCUAGUGUUGUUUCUGUGUCGAAUUGAUGAAAAUUUCACCAAUGCCUAUUCUGGGUCACUGGUCCGCAUAUCUGCUUGAAUUUUUAUAUUGUCGAUCUAUAAUAAACAUGUAGGAUUUUAGAGAAAUCUGCGAGAAUUUUGUAUGUUGUAUAUUUUUUUGUUGUAACAGAAUUAUACAAAUGUUCCUAUCUAUAUCUAUAUAUAUAUAUAUAAAAGGAGAAGCAAAAGAAUGUAAUGAUGCCAAGUGGCAUAACUACAAUUCAACAACUGUCAUUUUUUAAGACACAUCUCCAAUAAAGUUGGAGUUAGUUUGAAAUUUAAAAUUUGAACUAGAACUAUAAAAUAGACACACAAAAAAAACAGUCAUCAUUCACAAAAAAAAGGAAUACGAAUUGCCUUCCAUGUUCGGCAGUUAUUUCAUUUAUUCACUAGAGUUGGAAACUAAGACGUUUUUCGUUAAGAAUAAUCAAAUAAUUAUUAUCAAAUUUUAAAAGUUUACAUUUAAUUACAGUUAUAAGUCCUAAUAAUAAGGAGAUAUAUAAGGCUAACAGUUACAAUCUUUUUAAGUACCCUUUCAAGCCAAAAAGCCUUCACAUUUCACCUGCCGUUUCAACCAAACACAUAAUUUUCAAUUCCAAACGCCUCAAGUUCCAACUGCACUGGUACUCAAGACAGAGAAAAAAUUAACAAAGGAGAAGAAGUUUUACUGUCCGUGAGAAAGAUUUGAAGGCGUUAUAUUGGGGUUUUCCCUUUUUGGGAUUCAUCGAAGCCGGAGCAAAAAUCUAUUGGAUCACAGGAACUUCGGGGGACAAUUUUUUCUCUUCUUCUGAAAAUGGGGUGUUGCAUUUACCCCAGCAGGACGUACUUGAGCAAAACAAGCAGGCGAAAACAAAAAACUUUGUCGAUAAGGAAUACUCUGUGGAAUCCACUGAUCAUGAGAGCUAUUACUCAAGGUUUGGAUAGUCUUGAACAGUACAAAGGGUGAAUACGCAUCUAUCAUUAGUGGGAAAAACUUAGGAUGAAUAGUUAAUUUCCUUUUGUAUUAUCUACUCAUCCCAUAGACACUUAGUAAAUAGUGGUUGUAUGAUUCAUACGACAAGUUAGCGAGCUAAUUGCAUCCUGAAACGAAAAUAAGGCUCUGAAGGUAUAUGUAGUCACCCAUAUUGUUUUUAAAAUAAACGUACAUAAUUUGUCCA